GGCGCCCGCGCCCGCCCUUGGAGACGCGUCGGCAGCUCCGGAGCGGGCCUUGGCGACGCGUCCUGCGAAGCCCGCUGCCUCUGCCGCAACCAUGAAACUGACCCGCAAGGCUGUUCUGUCGCGGGCCAAAGCCACAGACCUCCGAGGCGUCCGCAAGCUGAACUGCUGGGGCAGCCGCAUCACAGAUAUUUCAAUCUGCCGUGAGCUUCCAAACAUUGAAGUGAUCACAUUCAGUGCGAAUAACAUCUCUGACCUGGAGCCAAUGACCCAGUGCCAGAACUUAACUGAGCUGUAUCUCAGGAGGAACAGUAUUGCAAGCCUUAAUGAACUCUUCCACCUAAAAAAGCUGUCCCGCCUGAAAAUCCUCUGGCUGUCGGAGAACCCUUGCUGUGGCCCUGAUCCUCAUCAUUAUCGAAUGACGGUGCUGCGUAACCUCCCCAAUCUUCAGAAGCUUGACAAUCAGUUGGUGACAGAGGAAGAACUGUCCCAUGCGCUGCUUGAAGGGGAGGAGAUAACGGCACCUCCAGCCAAAUCAGGCAUGGCCAGCUGCUGCCAAAACUCCACCACCGAGUCCAGCGUGAUGGAGUCUACAACAGAGAAUGAAAAUGAACUUCUGAAUUUCAGUUUGGAGGAGACAAAUAAAAUCCGUGAGCAACUUGGUAUGAAGCCAGUUGUUCCAAGAGAAAAAUUUUCCUCCUCACCCAAGGAAAUGGAUGGGAACCGAAAGAAACGGAACAACAUCCUCAAUGCUAUUCUGCUACUCUUAGAAGAGCUGGAUUCAGCAGGACUAGAAGUUGUUCAUCAAACAGUUGAGAACAAACUUCAAGCCUCCCAGAAGAAAGAACUCCAUGAGGACCGGUAGCACUUCCUAGGGAGCUGUUUUGCAGAUCCAUGGAACCUGCAUCAGUAGCCCUGGCUGCAUCCUCUCCAUUUUGCCUGGUUUUGUGUGGGGAUGUUUGACAAAAUGCAGGAAGAAGCUCCAUACAUCCCCUGUGCUUCACAUACUAGGACCUGGUUCUAUGAGAGGUUUCAUUUUCGGCAGCAACUUAUGUGCCUGCAUCUAUGCAUCUGCUACCUGGUGUGUCACAAAGGCUCACCACAAAGAGGGGCAAUUGAGUAUACACAGAAUUAUGACAGGUAGUUGUGACAUGGAAAAGAGUUGAGGCCCCAUCACCUGCUGGUGCCUCCCUGUUAGAAGAAUCAUUCAUAGCCUUACUUCAGAGGUAGCUCUGCCAGUCUAAGCCUGGGCCAAGGUAGCAUGAUGCCCUCACUUUGCAUCAUGAUAUUAGAGGAAGAGUUCACUUCAUAUCUCCAUCCACCUGGAGCAAGGAGCUUUUGACAGCCAUUUUCCCCUCAAGGCAGGCCAUGGAGGAGAUACAGCCUGAGGCACAAAACUUCAGGCUAUUCCACCAAGGUUCUCCUGAGCUUACAAGAUUUUCUAUCCCAGAGAUGGUACCCUCAACGUACCCUUGCGGUAAGCUUCCUUCAGCUUCUCUGACAUCCAGAGUACAGCUUUCACACCCAGCUUGGUGCCAUAGUUGCGGUCAAAGGGGGUUGGAGCACCACCCUAGAAACAGAGACAGGGAACUGAAGACAGAGCAAAAAGGAUGGCUAUGCCACCGUCACAGAGGUCAAGCUGAUCUGCACAGAUCUGCCAUCCCACUCAACAGCCCUUUUGGAUGUAUCUUCAUCAAAAGGGGGGUGUCUAAAUGCAAAAUAAAAGGGCCUGGUUAGUUACAAGAUGGAAAAUGGCAGCUUGGCAACAAACUCUCCAGCCACAAGAGGAGAUGGCAAAGAUAUUCAGGUUAUGGACUCUUUGACAACAAUUCUUCUCCAGGUAACACUUGCAAUUUCUUUUUUCCUUCCACCAAAACCCUUAAAUCAGUUCUAUCCUCAAGUGACCUGUGCUACUCAAAUUGUUGAUGUUCCUUUUUAGCCACCAACUAAACUUUUCCCCUCACCUGCUGAAGGUGGCCUAGGACAUUGAUCCUGCAGUCAAAUAUUCCUUUUCCCUCGGAGGAAUAGAGGUUGUAGAGGAACUCAGUGGUAUAGUGUUCAUGGCACUUCUCAUUGCUAAGGAGAAAGUAAGGUCAAAAGGCAUUUCUUUGUACAGUAAGCACAUAAAAUGACAGCUUUUGCAUAAAAAGCAGCACAGAAGUUUUCUGGGUUCACCUCAAGGUGCUGAUUUUAAAUGUUACACCUUGAGUGGUUCAGUCUGGAAUAUCUUGGGGAGAAGUCCUCCCUGUAUUAAAUUUCCUCUACCCUCUGGACCGGACUGCUCCCAAGAUGAAAGGUUGGGCUUUGCUGGUGGUAACUCCAAUUCUGUGGGGCAUUUAAGAGACAUACCUCAGAGUCCAUCAUUCUUAACCUUCAGAAAGAUCUUUAUUUCAGUGACUGGUUCUUGAUUUUUAUUUGAUUUA
This is an RNA transcript of Varanus komodoensis (Komodo dragon), 2420 nucleotides long. It is a transcript of the gene named cilia and flagella associated protein 410, with no coding region annotated. NCBI's taxonomy places the organism in Eukaryota, Metazoa, Chordata, Lepidosauria, Squamata, Varanidae. The transcript is spliced from 8 exons. The record is from RefSeq and is a predicted model, not a curated record.